Molecule: ribosomal RNA, 264 nt
Filed under: uncultured archaeon
Lineage: Archaea
Description: partial 16S ribosomal RNA
Rfam family: Archaeal small subunit ribosomal RNA
Source: RNAcentral
AGUCACUGACAUUAGUACCCGCGUAGUCCCAGCCGUAAACUAUGCGCGUUAGGUGUAUCGGUGACCACGAGUCACCGAGGUGCCGAAGGGAAACCGUGAAACGUGCCGCCUGGGAAGUACGGUCGCAAGGCUGAAACUUAAAGGAAUUGGCGGGGGAGCACAACAACGGGUGGAGCCUGCGGUUUAAUUGGACUCAACGCCGGACAACUCACCGGGAACGACAGCAAUAUGUAGGCCAGGCUGAAGACCUUGCCUGAAUCGCUG